Molecule: ribosomal RNA, 25 nt
Filed under: Ditassa lenheirensis
Lineage: Eukaryota; Viridiplantae; Streptophyta; Magnoliopsida; Gentianales; Apocynaceae
Description: partial 18S ribosomal RNA
Source: RNAcentral
GGNGGGUAACCCUGCGGAAGGAUCA